Molecule: long non-coding RNA, 469 nt
Filed under: Zostera marina
Lineage: Eukaryota; Viridiplantae; Streptophyta; Magnoliopsida; Alismatales; Zosteraceae
Description: long non-coding RNA (ZMAR_LNC005837)
Source: RNAcentral
AAAUAUCGUUUUCUAUUUCAAAAAGCAACGAUUCAAACGCAAAAUAUGGAAUCCUGUUUAAAAAAAAAUCAAACAAAAAUUGUAUGGCGGAUUUCCGCCAUCUAUACUCUUCUACUAAGAUUUAGAUGGCGGAAAUCCGCCAUAUAAAUAUGGGCACAAUCGCCCUCUCCCACGAAUAGAUGACGGAUAUCCGCCAUAUAUAAACUUAGGGAACCGCCUGCUGUAGUUUAGAAAGCGGAAAUCCGUCAUCUAAUGUUACAAAGAUAGUCGACGGCCAUCCGCCAUCAAUAAAAUUUACCGCCAUCAAUGAAUUGGCGCCAAACUUUUUCCGCGUCAUAUUUUAAAAAUUCGCCAUAUAAAAUUUUUCAGUUCCCGCGAAAAUUUUCAGAUUAGAUGGUGGAAAUCCGCCAUCUAUAUAAUUUUUGGUGGGAAAGGGGGAUGGAUAAUAGAUGACGGUCUUUAGAUGGCG